Molecule: long non-coding RNA, 943 nt
Filed under: Jatropha curcas
Lineage: Eukaryota; Viridiplantae; Streptophyta; Magnoliopsida; Malpighiales; Euphorbiaceae
Description: long non-coding RNA (JCUR_LNC002925)
Source: RNAcentral
UAGUUAGAAUAAGAAAUUCCUAUUACUUAGUGCAUUUUUGUAAGUUACUUAGUUUAUUGGAUGGAGAAAGGGAGAUAUAAUUAAGCCUCUAGGGAACAGAAGGGUAUCUGGAGUAUUUUAUAAAUAUCAAUGAACUAACUGGGUUUUAAUUUACUGUUCAUUUGGAAUAUUGAGAUUUGUGUAAGAAUAAACAAGUGAAUUUGGGAUAAUUUUAGGGAGAAGAAUACACACAAGUAUUCAAAAACUGAAAACAUGAAUUAUAAGAUUAUCGGAUGUGUUAACAAGAUGGUCUAAGAUUACAUCUUCACUAUACUUGAAGACCAACUUAAGUGUGUUAAUAUGGUAAUUUAUUAAUUUAAAAUUUGCUCAUGGAAUGAUUGAGAUAUCAAUUAGGAUGAGAGUCAUUCAUAUAUGAUUUGGAGUCGAUGUAAAGCUAUUCUGAAUUUCUUAGCAAUUGGUGGAAAUUAUGAUUGAAUGAAUAGAAUUGUGUUAUAAAUGGCAGUUUGUGACAGAUCUUAUGGUUUAAGAGAAUACUUAAUUAGUUAGGUCCAUUCGAGGAAUGGUACAUUGCAACUCUGAUGUUGAAGGAUUCAAUGAGGAAUUAACCUUGUUUGGAGUAAAGAAUAUAGAGAGAACAUAAUUAUGGUUGAGGAUAUUCCUAGAUUGUAUUAGGUAUAAAUUUUACGAAUUUGGAGGUGAUAGACAAACUUGGAGAGAAAGAAUAACCCAACGAUAUUAUUAUCUGAAUAUUCUUAGGUAUUCAUGGGUAAGAAGAAACAUAAAACAAAGGACAUAGUUUAAUCAGGAGUUGGAUUAUAGGUUUAAUAUCCUUAAUCUCAUACUUAGCUAGAGCAAAAGGCACUACUUGUUUAGGAUAUCUGGAUACGUAGACCUAGGUAAAUUGGAUAUAAAAUACGGUUUGGAGAAUUUUACAUCUUGAGNN